Molecule: ribosomal RNA, 270 nt
Filed under: uncultured archaeon
Lineage: Archaea
Description: partial 16S ribosomal RNA
Rfam family: Archaeal small subunit ribosomal RNA
Source: RNAcentral
CUGCAGCUCAAGUGGUGACCGCUAUUAUUGGGCCUAAAACGUUCGUAGCCGGCUGAGUAAAUGCUUGGGUAAAUCGUGCCGCUUAACGGUACGAAUUCCGGGUAGACUACUCAGCUUGAGACCGGGAGAAGCUAGAGGUACUCCUGGGGUAGAGGUGAAAUUCUGUAAUCCUGGGGGGACCACCAGUGGCGAAGGCGUCUAGCUAGAACGGGUCUGCCGGUGAGGGACGAAACCCUGGGGCGCGAACCGGAUUAGAUACCCGCGUAGUCC